CUCUCGCUCAAAGAAUCGCAAUCAAAGCUUACCCACACAGAUCCCUCCGCUCGUUCUCCUUGAUCGAGUCAGGACGAUCUGGUUCACCUUGCUUUGGGAGAAAGUCCCCGGACGAACCCUUUUUUCUUUUUCUCUACGGGGGAAAAAAAAAAUAAGGGCAUUGCCUAAAGGCGCCGCCAUAAAAGCAAUUUACAGCGGCUUAUUGGAAAUGUCUUGGUUACCGAGAUGUUUCGUUUUCUUCUUUUCGUCGUGUGUCGAUAGUUAUGCGAUUGUCUGAUUCUCUUUUGUUUUGGUUUGAUUCAAAACAAAAUUGAGUCGGGUAACUCGAUGGGGCUUAUUCUUGAGGCGAGA
Molecule: RNase MRP RNA, 351 nt
Filed under: Phaeomoniella chlamydospora
Lineage: Eukaryota; Fungi; Ascomycota; Eurotiomycetes; Phaeomoniellales; Phaeomoniellaceae
Description: RNase MRP
Rfam family: RNase MRP
About the family: RNase MRP is an enzymatically active ribonucleoprotein with two distinct roles in eukaryotes. In mitochondria it plays a direct role in the initiation of mitochondrial DNA replication. In the nucleus it is involved in precursor rRNA processing, where it cleaves the internal transcribed spacer 1 between 18S and 5.8S rRNAs.
Source: Rfam by way of RNAcentral